This 301-nucleotide ribosomal RNA is filed under the name uncultured bacterium. RNAcentral's name for it is "partial 16S ribosomal RNA". It matches the Rfam family "Bacterial small subunit ribosomal RNA", at positions 509 to 807 of the family's 1533-position model. The record is from RNAcentral.
CAGUAGCCACGGUAAAACGAAGGGGGCUAGCGUUGUUCGGAUUUACUGGGCGUAAAGGGCGCGUAGGCGGGCUGAUCAGUCAGGGGUGAAAUCCCAAGGCUCAACCUUGGAACUGCCUUUGAUACUGUCGGUCUUGAGUUCGAGAGAGGUAAGUGGAACUGCGAGUGUAGAGGUGAAAUUCGUAGAUAUUCGCAAGAACACCAGUGGCGAAGGCGGCUUACUGGCUCGAAACUGACGCUGAGGCGCGAAAGCGUGGGGAGCAAACAGGAUUAGAUACCCGAGUAGUCCCUGUCUCUUAUAC